UUGACCUCGGAUCAGGUAGGAAUACCCGCUGAACUUAAGCAUAUCAAUAAGCGGAGGAAAAGAAACCAACAGGGAUUACCUCAGUAACGGCGAGUGAAGCGGUAAUAGCUCAAAUUUGAAAUCUGGCUCUUUCAGGGUCCGAGUUGUAAUUUGGAGAGGAUGUUUCGGGCACGGCUACGGUUUAAAUUUCUUGGAACAGAAUGUCAUAGAGGGUGAGAGUCCCGUCUUGAACCGAUUGCUUCGUCCAUGUGAAACUCCUUCGACGAGUCGAGUUGUUUGGGAAUGCAGCUCAAAAUGGGUGGUAAAUUUCAUCUAAAGCUAAAUAUUGGCCAGAGACCGAUAGCGCACAAGUAGAGUGAUCGAAAGAUGAAAAGCACUUUGAAAAGAGAGUUAAACAGUAUGUGAAAUUGUUGAAAGGGAAGCGCUUGUAAUCAGACUUGAGCUCAACAGUUCCCCCUUCGUUCUCGUUGGGUUAUUCUGUUUUGUCCAGGCCAACAUCAGUUCGAGUGGUUGGUUAAAGACUCUGGGAAUGUAUCUACCCUUCGGGGUCGACUUAUAGCCUAGAGUGUCAUGCAGCCUACUUGGACUGAGGAACGCGC
This 599-nucleotide ribosomal RNA is filed under the name uncultured Herpotrichiellaceae. Its description in RNAcentral is "eukaryotic LSU rRNA". It matches the Rfam family "Eukaryotic large subunit ribosomal RNA", at positions 1 to 603 of the family's 3401-position model. Lineage: Eukaryota; Fungi; Ascomycota; Eurotiomycetes; Chaetothyriales; Herpotrichiellaceae. The record is from RNAcentral.